This is a long non-coding RNA of Panonychus citri (citrus red mite), 479 nucleotides long. RefSeq lists it as uncharacterized. The transcript is spliced from 2 exons. Lineage: Eukaryota; Metazoa; Arthropoda; Arachnida; Trombidiformes; Tetranychidae. The record is from RefSeq and is a predicted model, not a curated record.
UACGAUUAAAAGAAAUCAGUAUUCCUAUUAGAUUUUACAAUAACGUGGUUGCUGAUGGUUGUGUUGAAAGAGCACUUGUUGAGUUUCGAGAGACAGCUUCAUGUCCAUGAAGGUAGAAACCGAUCUGUUCGCGAAACGCUUUAAAAAGGUUAUGAAGUUUGGAAAAAUUAUCAUUCCAAUUGCAAACAAUUAUCGGAGACAAUUCAAUCUUAAAGGAGACAAUUAACAAGAUGGAAUUAAAAUUUCAAGCAACAAUCGAAUCGAUGACAGAUGAACAAAAGUUUCUACUCGACGAAAUUCAGCGUUUGAAAGAUAUCGUAAUCAUUGGAGAAUCAUCCGUAUAAUUAAGACAAUCAAUGGAACCAUCGACAUUAAAUCAAUUAUUUCAAACCCAAUCGAAAGAUCAAAAUUCGAGAUACUUUCGAUGCUUAAUUGUUAUGUUCAAAAAUAACAUUUUUUACUUAUUUUAAUCCUUAUAA